GCCGAAACAGCAAACUGGUCCUGGAUUGUAGUACUCGCUCCAGCAGGGCAGACAGGGGUGAGAGGAAGUGUCAACUCAGGACACUGCAGCCAGGAAAAAUCUGGUAAUCCAAAAAUGACAGUGGGCCAAAUACAGGAGAACACAGACUUAAGGGAUCCCAGACAAGGAAGUUUGGACUUAACUGGCUGGAUCCCCAAAUGGUGGUUCUCAGAGCGGUCACUGGUUGGCAGCAGGACGCAGCAGCGGUGACAGAAACUAGGGAGUAGUCAGAUGGAGCCAUGGACAAUCCAGAUUGGCAAGUUAAUUACCAAAAGCAA
Long non-coding RNA from Bufo bufo (common toad), 317 nucleotides. RefSeq lists it as uncharacterized. The record is from RefSeq and is a predicted model, not a curated record. Lineage: Eukaryota; Metazoa; Chordata; Amphibia; Anura; Bufonidae. The transcript has 3 exons.